UUGGUGGAUAAAGAUGAGGGCCACACAAGUGACUCAAGGCGAUGAUGCAACUAUUGAAAAUAACUAGUAAACAAGGCAACAGAGGAGAGAAUGGGGGUAGUGGCAGCAGAUGGACUUUGAUCCAGCAUCCCACGUGCCUGUGCACUCUUUGUUCCCCGCUGUUCGGCUUGGUGUUCUUGUCCUGUUUGCAGAUUUUGUGUCACACACUUGAUUAAGCAUCCCACGUUCCCCUAAUGUGCGCCCUUGGCCUUGAUGAUAGGUAGCGUCGUGUUCUCGGGCGCGUCCCGUGGGUAAAAUUCAAGUAUGCGUCGAUUGUCCGAGCUCUUGCUCGCCAUUGGUGGUGCUUGAGCGUGCGGUCUUGGUGUCACCCAGCAAGGGAACACGGGAUGUGGGAUCAAGACAGCACAUAUAGCAACCCGUCACCAGGCAACGGACGCCCGUCCGGACUUUCAGGGAGCAGAGGUGGACACAAAGGUGGAUGUUGAGCUCCAUAGCCGUCUCGACAGUGUGCUCAUCAGUAAGAGCAACACGAGCAAGAAGAUCCUGGAUAUACUCCUCUUAGGAAAUGAAGAAGCCAUUAGAGGUAGAAACCUCAGUCUCAAGGAAGUCGCGACUUCUUUAGUAAACAUGGAGCAAUUUGGAUUUAGUUAGGCGAUUGUGAUCUUGAACAAAUUUCAUGGUGGAUUACAAGAUUUUUCAAUGGAUUUAGUUGACCGUGAUCUUGAGGAGAUAGUCAAGGAUGUUCGGUGUAUUAAUUAAUCUUGAACAAUAUGGAUUUAGUUAGAUGAUUGUGAUAUUGAACCAAAUUUCUCUGUGAUUUAUGAGAUUUUAGUUGGAUUUAGUUAGGUGAUUGUGUCUUGAGAUGAUAAUCAAAGAUGUUUUGUGGAUCAUGAUAUUUUAGGUCUACUAGAUGAGCAUGGUGAUUAUUAUAUUGGUGGAUAAAUAGAAUUUAUAUUAAUUUGGAACAAUUUGAAUUUGGUAGGUGAUUGUGAUCUUUUAACCUUAUUUUACGAUGGAUUAUAAGGUUCUGGUUGCAUUUAGUUAGGUGAUUGUGAUUUUGAGGAGGUAGUAAAAGAUGUUUGGUGAAUUAUCCAAAUUUAGGUCUACUAGGCGAGCAUGUUGAUUAUAUUGGUGGAUAAAUGGAUCUUUAAUAAAUUUUAAACAAUUUGGAUUUAGUUCGGCGAUUAUGACCUUAAACCAAAUUUUAUGGUGGAUUAUGAGAUUUUUUUAUGGAUUAGUUAGUUGAUUCUGAUCUUGAGAAGAUAUUCAAAGAUGUUUGGAUUAAUUAAUCUUGAACAAUUUGGAUUUAGUUAGGUGAUUGUGAUACUGAACCGAAUUUUACGCUGGAUUAUGAGAUUUUAGGUGGAUUUAGUUAGGUGAUUGUGUCUUGAGAAUAUAGUCAAAGAUGUUUGUUGGACUAUGAGAUUUUAGGUUUAGUAGAUGAGAAUGGUGAUUAUUAUAUUGGUGGAUAAACCGUUCUUUAAUUUACUUUGAAACAAUUUUGAUUUAGUUAGGUGAUUGUUAUUUUUGAGCAAAUUCACGGUGGAUUUUGAGGUUUUGUUGGAUUUAGUUAGGUGAUUGUGAUCUUGACGAGUUAGUCAAAGAUGUUUGGUGAAUUAUGUUAAUUUAGGUCUAGUAAGUGAGCAUGGUGGUUAUUAUAUUGGUGGAUAAAUGGGCCUUUAGUAAACAUGGAGCAAUUUGGGUGUGGUUAGGCUAUUGUGAUCUUGAACAAAUUUCAAAGUGGAUUGCGAGAUUUUCAAUAGAUUUAGUUAGUAGAUUGUGAUCUUGGGAGAUGUCAAAGAUGUUUGGUGGAUUAAUUAAUCUUAAACAAUUUGGAUUUAGUUAGAUGACUGCGAUAUUGAACCAAAUUGCUCUGUGAUUUAUGAGGUGAUUGUGUCUUGAGAUGAUAAUGAAAGAUGUUUGGUGGAUUAUGAGAUUUUAGGUCUAAUAGAUGAGCAUGGUGAUUAUUAUAUUGGCGGAUAAAUGAAUCUUUAAUAAAUUUGGAACAAUUUUGAUUUAGUUAGCCGACUGUGAUCUUUAACCAAAUUUUAUGGUGGAUUAUGAGAUUUAGUUUGGCCAUGCUCUGCCUUUUCCUCGAGGAGCAUGUGCAGUGCGGUGGUGCGGCGGCUCGUGCGGCGGGCGGUGGCCUCAGAAGAUGGGCGCCGACACCUGCAGCUUGUGCACAAUGGUCCGUAACCCUCUCCUUCCUGGCACAGGAGGAGCAGGAGCAAGGAUGCCGAGGCGGUUCAGGUGAAUGGUGCUUUAGCUUCAAUGACCAAUUUUAUUGCUAAAUAUUUUUCCCAUUGAAAGUGUCGAAGAACAUACAACUUGUCGUGAGGAAGAGUAGGAAGAUCAGGCAGAGAGGGUUUCACAUACCUCUUCUACACUGACAAGUCUUUGCUUUCCAGGAUUACCAUGGGAGCUUUGGAUGGUGGUCUUGGUAUUUCGCACAGUGACAAGAGAUUUGUUCGCUUCAAGAAGGAUAAGAAGCAGCUGGGCGCUGAGAUUCACCGCAAAUACAUCUAUGAAGGUCAUGUUGCUGACUACAUGAAGUCAAUAGCUGAUGAGCAACCUAAGAAGUACCAAUCUCACUUCAGUGAGUACAUCAAGAAGAAUAUUGCGGCCGAUGACAUGGAAGCACUGUACAAGAAGUGCAUGAUGAACUACACGGUAAAGUUCAGCUGAAGUUCCUCUGUUUUCUUCUACCAGGAGUUCUGACGAUUUGUACACUUGGCUGCAAAUUUAUGCCGUUUGCAUCACCAUACGGAUAGUGGUUUGUUCUUCUGUCGUUAUUCAUGGUUCUCAUCAUAGCCAUACUGAAUGAUGCAGGUGGCAUCUCUGAAUUUAUCAUAUGAAUUAUGACUUUAUGAGCUUGCUUGGCUACUGACCUGCUGUGUGGGAAGGGCAUCCUUUUACCAGAGCUAUGGAUUUUAAUAUGCUCCGUUUCCUUCAGGUCUUUUAUCACUCCAUCCUUGAUUUAUCUAAGUCCAUUGGGGUUGCUCAUGAAUUAAAGAAUUUAGGCUUACAGUAGGAUGAACUUCCUUGAGAAUCAAUAAUAGAAAAGUUUUGGUUAAGAGCAAUUUCCAACGGGUCGUCAAAUUUGUUUUUCUGAUGUUUGGGUCUUGGCAUGUAUGCUUUGCUUGCCUAUAUGCUCUGUUUGAAACCUUUUAUUCUGCUUUUGUCUUGGUCUGAAUCAUGGAUAAAUUGCCUCCCUUUUUACUUGCUUGGGCUUGGGAUUGGGCUUGGAAGAGCUUUAUCCUGUACUUAGUUACUUGGGUUGUAUGACACCUAUGGUUACCUCAUUGUGCUUCCAGUUCAUUUGCCUUUGUUGGUGGCUGGGGGCAAAUAUUUAGUUUGAAUUAUAGUUGAUUGUCUUUGGAUGUUGCUAAUUUUGUAUGAGCUGCAGGUGACAUGUUCUUUCUAUUUUUUAUAGAAAAUAUUUUCUUUCUACUACCUCCAAUCCAAAAUAAGUGUCGCAGUUUUGAGCCCGGGUUUGUUCAAAACUGCCACACUUAUUUUGGAUCGGAGGGAGUAAUAUUUAGUUUUCUUCCAGUAUUAAUGAUGUUUUCACUCUUUUGUUAGAUUAACAAUUUGCAUUGACCUUUUAUUGCACCUUUGAUUGUAAUCAACAUCAAAUGGUUGUCUGGCUAUGCUUUGCAUUAUUAUAGAUCGUAUAUGCUGCUGCUACUUAAUUAUACUUCUAUGCGAUCAUACAAUUGUAUUCAUUUUAAUGUUCACCGGUGAUGGAAAAGCGCCGACUGAUAUGAAGCUAAGAGGAAGAAAAGUAAGAGAAAAUUUACUUCACUGGUUGAUAGGAAUCCAUCUCACGUUUUCUCGGGUUGUGCCUUUCUCAAAGUAAAAAAGCAAAAGUCAGAGAGAGAAAUUACUGUACUAGUUAAGACAACUAAUUUGCAUACAAUGGCAGCAAUGCACAAUCAGUGUCAGUUUUAGCGUGUACUUAUUUCAGAGAUGAUUGGAGUAACCGUUGGCCGGUUCAGCAGCCACCAUUUAAUCGAAUCACAAUUCAUAGACUAGUAGGCAAAGGUAUUGGAGGGCUACUUUCAGAUCAAUUCAUGACUAUACGUAUGGUAUGAGCUAUUCCUAUCGCCGCGAACUUGUUGAACACGGCAAUACUGGUGAACAAAAGCACAAGUGUGCGUGCAGUGCGAGCUAAGAAAGCUGGUUCAUCAUUCAGCAUUAUGCAUGGUAUUCAGUCAUGAUUGUCAAGUGUCAAGUUCAGUUUUAAAAGCUGAACCCUCAAGUGUUAAGUUUAGGUAACAGGGGCUGUGGAGUAACUGUAGCUGGAUCAAAUCCUCAAUGUCAAGUUCAGAAUAUGAUACUCAAUUAUCAUGACAAAAUUUACUACUUUGGAAUGUGUGGGUGCACUGGUUUUCGACUACUUGAUCUAAUCAUCUUGAAUUGACAGAGGUUUUCUGACUAUACCCGAAAGUCGCAACCAUGGCCUUACAUUGCUACACACCUCUGCUGAAGCCCCAACUGGCCCAAGUCUCGGUCAACCCUUCCAUUAACACGAUACAGAUUCCAGAGUCAGUGCUCCGUCCCUCUGCUAAAGCCCUAACUGGCCCAUGUCUCGGCCAGCCCUUCUCUAAAUCGAUGCAGAUUGCAGGUUUGCCUCGCAUCAAUAUGCUCCUUGCAUAAGCUAGUAAUCUCUGGCCAUGCUUCAUUUUUUAUCCUACUUGCAUCAUGCCUGAUGACUUUUUUUGUGCCACCAAUUUUAGUGUAUGUUCGAGGAGUAGCAGAUUUUACGGAUCUUUUUUUGUGUCGUUGCUUCAUCAAAUGGAAAUUUAAGUAACGGGAGAUUCGUCAAAUGGAAAUUUAAACCAGUUUAUGACUUGGUUAUGGAACUGCACUUGCAAUGGUAGCAGGAACGACCUUGCUUGGGCGACCUUCUCUGUUAUGAUAUUGUUGUCUAAGUUAAAAAACCUGAAUCUGCUCCAUGGUUUUGUUAUGUUGGAUGUGCCCCAAGAAGCUUCUUUCUUUUGAUUUUUGUUGUCAAUAUAUUCUGUGCAUGCUCCUCGUACUCAUUAUGAAGUUUGGCAAAUAUCAAUUCUCUGGAUGUUCUUCAUAACUAUGGCGAAUCACAUGAAGUUCAAAUGUUAGCAUAGCUAAUAAGUUGUAUUUUCGUCGAUGACACAAUGCACAGGUCAAGUGUUAGUUUUCUGAAACUAUUGCUGUGAACUGAUGCAAACUUCCUCACUUUUAUUUGUAGUUUGGCCAACAUUGGUACCUGGUGUCGAUGUGGAGGAAAAGACCUUAGCAGGACUACUGACUGUCGCCUUGCAACUCAUUUUCUUCAGAAGUAUCUCGGCCUCAGACAUGAAAACUUGAGAAUUCAGAUUUUUUGUAGCGCAGAACCCAUUAGCUCCUAUCUUUGUGCUAGCUAAACUUGAGCUUAAGUUGUAGUGGUGUAGUCAAAAUUAUUUGUGUACUGAAUUUUUAUUCUUUUAUGUGCCCGUAGUGAGUUUUGUAGUUUUAUUUGAUAAUUAUUUGUGCAAAUUUUAGCUGUGAUCUGAUGUGUUAUACCAAA
Non-coding RNA from Triticum urartu, 5548 nucleotides. NCBI's taxonomy places the organism in Eukaryota, Viridiplantae, Streptophyta, Magnoliopsida, Poales, Poaceae. The record is from RefSeq and is a predicted model, not a curated record.